UACGUAGGGGGCAAGCGUUGUCCGGAAUCAUUGGGCGUAAAGAGCGUGUAGGCGGUUCGGUAAGUCGGCUGUGAAAGUCCAGGGCUCAACCCUGGGAUGCCGGUCGAUACUGCCGGACUAGAGUUCGGAAGAGGCGAGUGGAAUUCCCGGUGUAGCGGUGAAAUGCGCAGAUAUCGGGAGGAACACCUAUGGCGAAGGCAGCUCGCUGGGACGUUACUGACGCUGAGACGCAAAAGCGUGGGGAGCAAACAGG
Molecule: ribosomal RNA, 253 nt
Filed under: uncultured bacterium
Lineage: Bacteria
Description: partial 16S ribosomal RNA
Rfam family: Bacterial small subunit ribosomal RNA
Source: RNAcentral